RNAcentral lists this ribosomal RNA (363 nucleotides) under uncultured bacterium. Its description in RNAcentral is "partial 16S ribosomal RNA". It matches the Rfam family "Bacterial small subunit ribosomal RNA", at positions 338 to 698 of the family's 1533-position model. The record is from RNAcentral.
CCUACGGGUGGCAGCAGUGAGGAAUAUUGGUCAAUGGACGAGAGUCUGAACCAGCCAAGUAGCGUGAAGGAUGACUGCCCUAUGGGUUGUAAACUUCUUUUAUAAAGGAAUAAAACGAGGCACGUGUGCCUUUUUGCAUUUACUUUCUGUAUAAGGAUCGGCUAACUCCGUGCCAGCAGCCGCGGUAAUACGGAGGAUCCGAGCGUUAUGCGGAUGUAUGGGGUUGAAAGGGAGCGUAGAUGGGUUGUUAAGUCAGAUGUGAAAGGUUGCGGCUCAACCGUAAAAUUGCCAUUGAUACUGGCAGUCUUGAGUACCGUUGAGGUAGGCGGCAUUCGUGGUGUAGCGGUGAAAUGCUUAGAUAUC